AGCGGGACUCGCGGAGCGGCACUGGGCAUGCUCAGUCGCCGGAUCCCGUCUUGAGCUCAAGUAGGAAGCUCGUGCGCUGCACCCGCAGCUGAUCCGGGCGCUCCGGGGAGGGCGAGACUGGAGCAGAGCUGCCGGGCGCCGGAGCCGAGGCGAGCGCCGCGCGCACCGCCGUGUGUUACCAGGUGUGGGAUGCCCCGGAAGGGUAUGACCCCAGGCAGACGAGGCAGCUCUCUGCAGCUGAGGCUGACCUGAGGAACUGGCUGGGCCCUGGCAUCGUCUACCUGCAGCUGCUCAGUGAGUCUUAGCAGUGCAUCUCCCCAUCUACCACUAGACACUGUGCUUAGUGCUGCGUAUGUAUCAACUCCUAUUAACUUGCAACAACCACAGGAGGUGUUGAGACCAUAUUAUCCUCAUUUUACAGAGGAAGAAACUGAAACUCGCCCAAGGCGAUACAGCUGGAAGUUUAGCCCUGAGCUAACAUCUGCUGCCAAUCCUCCUCUUUUUGCCAAGGAAGACUGGCCCUGAGCUAACAUCCGUGACCAUCUUCCUCUGCUUUAUAUGUGGGACGCCUACCACAGCAUGGCUUGCCAAGAGGUGCCAUGUCUGCACCUGGGAUCCGAACCGGUGAACCCCGGGCUGCCGAAGCAGAAUGUGUGUACUUAACCGCUGUGCCACCGGG
Molecule: long non-coding RNA, 679 nt
Filed under: Equus asinus (donkey)
Lineage: Eukaryota; Metazoa; Chordata; Mammalia; Perissodactyla; Equidae
Description: lncRNA (ENSEASG00005032659.1)
Source: RNAcentral